AUACUUACCUGGCAGGGGAGAUACCAUGAUCACGAAGGUGUUUUCUCCAGGGUGAGGAUUAUCCAUUGCACUGCAGAUGUGCUGACCCCUGCAACUUCCCCAAAUGUGGGAAACUCAACUGCAUAAUUUAUGGUAGUGGAGAGAGCCCAACUCUCCU
Molecule: small nuclear RNA, 157 nt
Organism: Cavia porcellus (domestic guinea pig)
Lineage: Eukaryota; Metazoa; Chordata; Mammalia; Rodentia; Caviidae
Gene: U1
Rfam family: U1 spliceosomal RNA
About the family: U1 is a small nuclear RNA (snRNA) component of the spliceosome (involved in pre-mRNA splicing). Its 5' end forms complementary base pairs with the 5' splice junction, thus defining the 5' donor site of an intron. There are significant differences in sequence and secondary structure between metazoan and yeast U1 snRNAs, the latter being much longer (568 nucleotides as compared to 164 nucleotides in human).
Source: Ensembl